Molecule: ribosomal RNA, 158 nt
Filed under: Euplotes focardii
Lineage: Eukaryota; Ciliophora; Spirotrichea; Euplotida; Euplotidae
Description: partial Bacterial small subunit ribosomal RNA
Source: RNAcentral
UUUAUGAGUUUGACUCUGGCUCUGAAUGAACGCGAGCAACGCGUCUUGACACAUGCUAGUUUAAUGAUUAGUAAUUUUAAUUAUUUAGCGAACGGGUGAGUAGUGAAAUGUAUUAUUUAAAUUUAAUGUUUAAAUUUAAGAAAUAAUUUUUAAGAUUA